Molecule: long non-coding RNA, 3274 nt
Filed under: Sus scrofa (pig)
Lineage: Eukaryota; Metazoa; Chordata; Mammalia; Artiodactyla; Suidae
Description: lncRNA (ENSSSCG00025019142.1)
Source: RNAcentral
UAGAAAUUUUGCCACUGGAUCGAAGUCUAAGACUAGAAGUAAAGAGGAAAUUCCUUUCACUUUAGUUUGAAGAAACAGAUGAGACUCUGGACAAAGACUGCAAGCAAAGGAAGUAAGUACAUUAUACUAGUUUGCAACCCUGAAUUAUGAUGAUAGGCUGGAUUAACAGGGGAAGAAUAAUAGUAGGAAAUCUCUUGAGGAUAUCUGCACUUAGGAAUGCUAGAAUAUAUUAAUAGAGCAUCUUAAAUAGCCAGUGUGAUAAAUGAUAAGCAGGAGAGAUCUGUAAAACAUAUAAACAUUAUUAAGAACAGGAAGUGGCCAAAUAUGAAAAAAAUGGUUUUAUAUGCCUUUUAGAAAUUAUAGUUCAGAUUAUACUUAUUUGUGGAUUAAAAUGAAAUGUUUGAAGCCUAGAUAAUUUGUGAACACUUCAUAAACAUAUUAAUCUAUUAUUGACCUCAGUUGCAAAUCAUUGAACCUAACUUGAAUUUGUGGAAGUAAAAACUGAGGAAAGUAUGAUGUUCAGAAGGGUAAUUUUAGGCCUGGUUUUUGUUAUGACCUAAGGCUAGAUAGUUCAUAUAGAUCAAAUAGUCAGAUCUAGAAUAGAUACUAAGAUGAUCAUUGCAUACUUAUUAUAAAAUGUUUAGCAAAAUAAUUACACAUGAUAAGAACUCAAAAAUUGAGUAAUUUUUAUAAUUAAUAUCAUUUUUUAAAAUAAUUUUAAAAAUUUUCCCACUGUACAGCAAGGGGGUCAGGUUAUCCUUACAUGUAUACAUUACAAUUACAUUUUUCCCCCACCCUUUCUUAUUUAUAUAGGGUUAAUAACAUAUGUGUAAUAUACACUUUUCUGAAUUUAAAAUCUAAAAGUGAUUAGCCGAAUAAAAAUAACUCAUUGUGUGUGUAUAUGAAUGCUGUGUGAGGAUAGAUUAUACAUUUAUGUAUAUGUCUCAUAUUGUGUGUAUAUUCUAUGUUACCUGUUAAAACCAUUCCAGUUAUUCAAAAAUUAGUAUAGUCAAACAUAUAACUUUUUGCUUUACUAAAAUAAAUCUAUUUUAUUUGGAACAGUGUGGGAGAAGUUCAAGCCUAAGGAUGCUCUCAAAAACUACUGUGGUUUUGAUGAUAAGCAGUUAAAUUGAGGUAACUUCAUGAGAGUAACAAGUUUUAAUAUAUGAUAACUACUUUAUGAAAGACAGGAUGGGAAAGAGACAGUUAAAUGCUCCUCUAUGAUCAUAAAAAUGUCAGGUCUUAGCCUCAAAUCAAGUCAAGAGUCCUGGAUUUAACUGAAUCAGACUGUGGAGAAAUAUAUGCCCCAGGGAAUUGUUGAAAGCAAUAGAGCAUCCAGUCAGUAACUGGUAUGAUAAUGGACAAUGACAGUACAAGAUAGUCCUGCUGAGACCACUGUCAUCCCAGGGUGACUGUGAACAUGUUUAAGGCUAUAUACCCUCCAAGGAACAACAUCAGAUGCCUCACAUGGCCGGGCACAUAUAUUUCCCUAAAAUGUUCCAACCAGUGACAAAUGUACAGAAAACAAUAGCUACUACUUGGAAGAAUCAAAAGGAAAUAGAAGACUUGAACAAUAUUAUAAACAAACUAGACCUGGUAAACAUCUAGAGAACACUCCACCAACAACAGUAUAGUCCAUAUUCUUUUCAGGAACACAUGGAACAUUUCCCAGAGAAGAGCAUAUGCUAAGCCAUAAAACAAAUCAUACUAUAUUAAAAUAACUGAAUUAUACAAAGCAUAUUUUCCAAAAACAAUUGAGGGAAAUUAGGAGUCAAUAACAGAAAGAAAUUGGGAAAUUUACAAAUAUGUGAAAAUUGAACAUCAUAUUCCUAAAUAAUGAAUGGGUCAAAAAGGGAAUUAUAGGGAAAAUAGAAAAUACUUUUUUUUUUUUUUUUUUUUUUUUUGUCUUUUUGCUAUUUCUUGGGCCACUCCCACGGCAUAUGGAGGUUCCCAGGCUAGGUGUCGAAUCGGAGUUUUAGCCACCGGCCUACGCCAGAGCCACAGCAACGCGGGAUCCGAGCCGCGUCUGCAACCUACACCACAGCACUGCCGGAUCGUUAACCCACUGAGCAAGGGCAGGGACCGAACCCGCAACCUCAUGGUUCCUAGUCGGAUUCGUUAACCACUGAGCCACGACGGGAACUCCGAAAAUACUUUGAGACAAGUUAAUGACAACAUAUUUUACCAAAGCUUACUGGAUGCAGCUAAAGCACUAAUUAGAAAAUUAUAGCUGUAAAUGCUUAAAAUUUAAAAAGAGAAAAUCUCAUAUCAAACAAUUCAACAUUUCAUCUUAAAACACUGGACAAGAAGAACAAAGUCAACUCAAAGUAAGAAGAAGAAAGUGAGUAAUAAAAAUCAGAUUAGAAAUUAAUAAAAUAGAGAACAGAAAGAGAAUAUAAACAAAACUAAGAAUUGGUUCAAGAUACACUAAAUUUACAAAUUUUUUGCUAGACUGAAAAAGAAAAGACUCAAAUACUAAAAUCAGGAAUGGACCAGAGGGUAUUACUACUGACCUUCCAAAAAUAAAAAAGAAUUUGUAGAGAAUACUAUUAACAAUUUUAUGCCAAUAAAUUAGAUAAUAUAGAUAAAAAUAACAAAUUUGCAUAAAUACAUAAACUACCAACACUGGCUCACGGAGAAAUAGAAAUUACAAAUAGACUUAUAACACGUAAAGGGAUUGAAUUAAUAAUUAGGGAAAAAACUACCCACAAAGAAAGCCAAAGCCCAGGCUCAGACUACUUUAUUUGUGUAUUCUGCCAAAUAAUUCUACCAUUUAAACAAUUAAUACCAUUUCUUCACUCUUAGAAAAAUAAAGAAGAGAAAGAAACACCUCUCAAUUCUUUCUCCAAGGUCAGUAUCACUCUGAUCCAAAACCAAAUUAAGACAUCAUGAGAGAAGAAAACUGCAGAUUAAUAUAACUUUUAAAUAUAGAAGCAAAAUUCCUUAACAAAAAUAAGCACUUCAAAUUCCAUAAUAUUUAAAAAAAUAGACGCCACAACCAAGUGGAAUUUUGGCCAGGAAUGCAAGUGUUAGUUUAACAUUUGAAAAUCAACUGAUAUAAAACAACAUAUCAAUAGGCUAAAUAAUUUUUAAAUUAUUGCAAUAGAUACAGAUAAAGCAUUUAACAAAAUCCAAUAUUGCUUCAUGUUGAAAAUACUCAACCACUUAUAAAUACAGAGGACUAUCCUCAACCAAAUUAAGUCACCUACUUACAAAAAAAAAAAAUAGAUAGCAUGAUACUUAAUGGCAAAAAAAAAAAAGAAAAAAGAAAAAA